GACGAACGCUGGCGGCGUGCUUAACACAUGCAAGUCGAACGAAGUGGCGAACGGGUGAGUAACGCGUAAUCAACCUGCUCUUCAUAGGGGGACAACAGUUGGAAACGACUGCUAAUACCGCAUACUGCUGUAGGGGAUUGCGUCUGAUUAGCUAGUUGGAGGGGUAACGGCCCACCAAGGCGAUGAUCAGUAGCGUGUCGGAGAGGAUGGACGGCCACAUUGGGACUGAGACACGGCCCAGACUCCUACGGGAGGCAGCAGUGGGGAGUAUUCCGCAAUGGACGAAAGUCUGACGGAGCAACGCCGCGUGAGUGAUGACGGCCUUCGGGUUGUAAAGCUCUGUUAAUCGGGACGCGGUACCGGAAUAGAAAGCCACGGCUAACUACGUGCCAGCCGCCGCGGUAAUUC
This 408-nucleotide ribosomal RNA is filed under the name uncultured bacterium. RNAcentral describes it as "partial 16S ribosomal RNA". It matches the Rfam family "Bacterial small subunit ribosomal RNA", at positions 28 to 526 of the family's 1533-position model. The record is from RNAcentral.